Molecule: long non-coding RNA, 485 nt
Organism: Salvia hispanica
Lineage: Eukaryota; Viridiplantae; Streptophyta; Magnoliopsida; Lamiales; Lamiaceae
Source: RefSeq, a predicted model, not a curated record
UAUAAAUUCAAUCGAAUACCAACCAAUUACUGAAAUAUAAUCUGAGGAAUUUGGUUAGGGCAUCAAAUUGAUCACUUUAAUUUCACAUCGAGACCCUAACCAAUACAAUUCAAUCAUGUCAACCAAGCAAGGAGGAAAAGCCAAGCCUUUGAAGGCCCCUAAGGCUGAAAAGAAAGAGUACGACGAGACUGACAAGGCUAAUAUUCAAAAGAAGAAAGAAGAAGAGAAGGCUCUUAAGGAGCUCAAGGCAAAGGCCCAGCAAAAGGGGGCAUUUGGCGGUUCUGGUCUGAAGAAAAGUGGCAAAAAAUGAGCUAGAAGAAGAGCUAGCUCAUUGCUUGUCCUGUUUGUCAUUUUCUUUGUCAUGUAAUUUAAACAUUUUAGGUUGUUCCCACUAAUGUUUAUCGGUAUCGAGCCGUGAAGGGUGUGUGGGUGUAAGAUUGUAUGUUCAACAAUUGAAUCUAUGAAAUGGCUUAUGUCUAAAUGUA